RNAcentral lists this unclassified non-coding RNA (432 nucleotides) under soil metagenome. RNAcentral describes it as "partial contains 5.8S ribosomal RNA, internal transcribed spacer 2, and large subunit ribosomal RNA". The stretch from base 1 to 120 matches the Rfam family "5.8S ribosomal RNA", at positions 35 to 154 of the family's 154-position model. The record is from RNAcentral.
GAUGAAGAACGCAGCGAAAUGCGAUACGUAAUGUGAAUUGCAGAAUUCAGUGAAUCAUCGAAUCUUUGAACGCAUAUUGCGCUCUCUGGUAUUCCGGAGAGCAUGCUUGUUUGAGUAUCAGUAAACACCUCAACUUCCAUAUCUUUUUUGAAAUGGGAGUUGGACUUGAGUGAUCCUAACGCUUUUCCUCACCGAAAAGUGGCGGGUUACUUGAAAUGCAGGUGCAGCUGGACUUUUCUCUGAGCUAUAAGCAUAUCUAUUUAGUCUGCCUAAAAAACAGAUUAUUACCUUUGCUGCAGCUAACAUAAAGGAGAUUAGUUCUUGUGCUGACUGAUGCAGGAUUCACAAAGACGGCUUCGGCCGACUUUGUAAACUCGAUCUCAAAUCAAGUAAGACUACCCGCUGAACUUAAGCAUAUCAAUAAGCGGAGGA